CCAACCACAGACUCUGAAGAAAAAUUAUCCUCUCUAGAAGGAAUUGUUCUGAGAUUCAUAUAAAUACUGUGGGAUUGAUUACUACUCGAAUUUGAAUGCUUCAGGUAAAUAUGUUAUUGUCUAUUUUUGCUCUCAGCAGACAAUAUGGAAGACAGACUUCCAUGACUUAGGCAAGUCACCUCAACUCCUUGAAACAGUUUCUGUCUUUGUAAAAUAAGACAGUUGGAUUAAAUUAUCUACAAAGUUCGUUUCAACUGGAGUCCUCUGAUUUAGACUCUGUCUCCAGGACUGAUUUUUCUCAUAAAGUCAAUGAAAUGUGGUGGUUUAAGAAGAAUGAAGCUACAUCAGAGGGGCAAUCUGGUCUACUAAAAAGAACACUGGAACCAGAAAAGCUGGUUUUCAAAUUCCCUCAAGCCAGUCCUUCCCCCUCUCUGGGUGAAUCAAUAUUAAGUAAAG
This is a long non-coding RNA of Sarcophilus harrisii (Tasmanian devil), 456 nucleotides long. RefSeq lists it as uncharacterized. The record is from RefSeq and is a predicted model, not a curated record. The transcript is spliced from 2 exons. Lineage: Eukaryota; Metazoa; Chordata; Mammalia; Dasyuromorphia; Dasyuridae.